UCCCAAUGAUCUGAUUUCACCUUCUGCCU
Molecule: non-coding RNA, 29 nt
Filed under: Rattus norvegicus (Norway rat)
Lineage: Eukaryota; Metazoa; Chordata; Mammalia; Rodentia; Muridae
Source: RNAcentral